GUUAGGAAUAUUGGACAAUGGGCGAAAGCCUGAUCCAGCAAUGCCGCGUGCAGGAAGAAGGCCUUCGGGUUGUAAACUGCUUUUGUACGGAACGAAACGGUCCUGGUUAAUACCCGGGGCUAAUGACGGUACCGUAAGAAUAAGCACCGGCUAACUACGUGCCAGCAGCCGCGGUAAUACGUAGGGUGCAAGCGUUAAUCGGAAUUACUGGGCGUAAAGCGUGCGCAGGCGGUGCUGUAAGACAGGCGUGAAAUCCCCGGGCUUAACCUGGGAAUUGCGCUUGUGACUGCAGUGCUGGAGUGCGGCAGAGGGGGAUGGAAUUCCGCGUGUAGCAGUGAAAUGCGUAGAUAUGCGGAGGAACACCGAUGGCGAAGGCAAUCCCCUGGGCCUGCGCUGACGCUCAUGCACGAAAGCGUGGGGAGCAAACAGGAUUAGAUACCCUGGUAGUCC
This 450-nucleotide ribosomal RNA is filed under the name uncultured bacterium. RNAcentral describes it as "partial 16S ribosomal RNA". It matches the Rfam family "Bacterial small subunit ribosomal RNA", at positions 354 to 796 of the family's 1533-position model. The record is from RNAcentral.